This 253-nucleotide ribosomal RNA is filed under the name uncultured bacterium. RNAcentral's name for it is "partial 16S ribosomal RNA". It matches the Rfam family "Bacterial small subunit ribosomal RNA", at positions 524 to 776 of the family's 1533-position model. The record is from RNAcentral.
GACAGAGGCCUCAAGCGUUAGGCGGAAUCACUGGGCUUAAAGCGUGUGUAGGCGGACUUCUAAGUGCCUUGUGAAAUCCCACGGCUCAACCGUGGAACUGCUGGGCAUACUGGGAGUCUUGGGCCAUUCAGGGGCAACUGGAACAAGCGGUGGGGCGGUGAAAUGCGUAGAUAUCGCUUGGAACGCCGAAGGUGAAAACAGGUUGCUGGGGAUGUGCCGACGCUGAGACACGAAAGCCAGGGGAGCAAACGGG